Gambusia affinis (western mosquitofish) is the source of this 1286-nucleotide long non-coding RNA. RefSeq lists it as uncharacterized. The transcript is spliced from 4 exons. The record is from RefSeq and is a predicted model, not a curated record. NCBI's taxonomy places the organism in Eukaryota, Metazoa, Chordata, Actinopteri, Cyprinodontiformes, Poeciliidae.
ACAGAAAAUAAAUGUUGUUUCUCCUCAGACCAGCCGGUCAGUGAAUACUUUAAAAUAGCCAAUCAGUAGGAUUUCUCAUUAAGCGCAGCUCUGCAUUCAUGCAGCUUCCAAGGCGAGGUCACAGCUGGCAGAGUUCAGGUUGGUAAUGUGAAUAUUCUCCAGUGAGACGAAGGACAGCCGAUGCUUUUUGGGUCAGACGCACUAAAACAGGACAAGAAGAAGAAAAAUGUUUUUAUUGUGACACAUGAACCAAAUCUGCAGAUUAUCUGUGAAAACAGUAACAUUUUAAACAAAAAUAAGAUAUUCUUAAAGUUCCAUGAAUGGAUUUUAACCACCAACCAUCCAUGAAGGAGAGGACUUUGUCUGGAAGUUGUGUUGGACUUUCUGACCUGCAGGGCGGCGCUGUCAGAGCUGCUGCUCCCACUCUGAACACCUGACAGUGUUUCCGUGACAACGGGUGACAUUAAGAUGGCGGCCAGAUGUUUGUGACCCGAGGCUCCUGAGGCAAACUGACCGGCCGACACCUGGCUCUCGGUUCAUCCGUUUUCUCUUCAGACCUGCAGAAACAUUUCAGAGCAACGCUCAGCGAACCGGCAUGCAGCGUCUGGACGUCGUCCUUCCACUCAGUGAAACACGAAGCUGCAUCUCAGAUUAUUUCAGCCUAUUUAAAGUGGAGAACUUUUUGUUUUAACAUGUUCUGAUCCAUAAUUACAGAGCUAAAUUCGGCCAUAAAGCAUGUUCAAAACAUUUUGUCAACUGAAGGAAAGAAAAAUUUGUAGUUGAAAAAAAUUUUUAAACAAAAAAUAAAAGAAAUUGGAAAUGAAAAAAUUAAAACAAAAUUAAUUGAAACUUUAAAAAAUUAAAAACUCUUUUUGAAACUGGAAAUGGCUUUAAAACAUUAAUAUUGUGUUUAAUCAAUAGAUUUUCAAAACCUGUCACUGAGGAACAUUUUGAACAAAUUUAUGGCCCCAGUUUAGCUCCAUACAUUAUGGUCCUAUGACCACUGCAAAGCAUCAUGGGUAAUAAAGUGACUAGCUGUGCUCAUGAUGAGGUAGCCGUCUUGUUUUUAUGAUCUAAUCGUUUUAAUGCAGAAUAAAACAUUUUAGUGUCAAACUGGGUUUAUUCUGAAUCCGCCUCAGAUUCCAGUUCAUAUUUCUCUCGUUUUUUCUGGUUCCUGUUUUCACGUCUUCCUCUCUGGUUUCCCGCAGCUUCGUGGCUCCUUUGCUUUGGUUUCCUAAUUUUCCAUUAAGUCUCAGUUCCAGUCUCAAUAAACAUCGGUAAAUAUA